RNAcentral lists this ribosomal RNA (565 nucleotides) under uncultured bacterium. Its description in RNAcentral is "bacterial SSU rRNA". It matches the Rfam family "Bacterial small subunit ribosomal RNA", at positions 338 to 916 of the family's 1533-position model. The record is from RNAcentral.
CCUACGGGAGGCAGCAGUGAGGAAUUUUCCGCAAUGGGCGAAAGCCUGACGGAGCAAUGCCACGUGGAGGAGGAAGGCCUGUGGGUCGUAAACUCCUUUUCUCAGAGAAGAAGUUCUGACGGUAUCUGAGGAAUAAGCAUCGGCUAACUCUGUGCCAGCAGCCGCGGUAAUACAGGGGAUGCAAGCGUUAUCCGGAAUUAUUGGGCGUAAAGCGUCCUGAGGUGGCUUACCCAGUCGACUGUGAAAGCUCAAGGCUUAACCUUGAAACGGCAGUCGAAACUUGUAAGCUUGAGUACGGUAGGGGCAGAGGGAAUUCCCGGAGGAGAGGUGAAAUUCGUAGAUAUCGGGAGGAAGGCCAAAGGCGAAAGCACUCUGCUGGGCCGAUUACUGACACUGACAGACGAAAGCUAGGGGAGCGAAAGGGAUUAGAUACCCCUGUAGUCCUAGCCGUAAACGAUGGAUACUAAGUGUUGCGCGACUCAAAACGUGCAGUGCUGCAGCUAACGCGGUAAGUAUCCCGCCUGGGGAGUAUGCCCGCAAGGGUGAAACUCAAAGGAAUUGACGG